Molecule: ribosomal RNA, 156 nt
Filed under: uncultured Photobacterium sp.
Lineage: Bacteria; Pseudomonadati; Pseudomonadota; Gammaproteobacteria; Vibrionales; Vibrionaceae
Description: partial 16S ribosomal RNA
Rfam family: Bacterial small subunit ribosomal RNA
Source: RNAcentral
GGGGNNNCCUGAUGCAGCCAUGCCGCGUGUAUGAAGAAGGCCUUCGGGUUGUAAAGUACUUUCAGUUGUGAGGAAGGCAGUUAAGUUAAUAGCUUAGCUGUUUGACGUUAGCAACAGAAGAAGCACCGGCUAACUCCGUGCCAGCAGCCGCGGUAA